RNAcentral lists this ribosomal RNA (3963 nucleotides) under Triticum aestivum (bread wheat). RNAcentral's name for it is "partial small subunit ribosomal RNA". The record is from RNAcentral. Lineage: Eukaryota; Viridiplantae; Streptophyta; Magnoliopsida; Poales; Poaceae.
GGGAGGCUACCCCGGUAGGUAGAUUGGGAGAGGCGGGAGGUGGCCUCGUGGUGGCGGGGCUUCUCUUAGGGAGGGAGUCGGAGGAGGAGGAGGAGGCGAGGUGAUUGAGCCUAAGUAAGUAGGAAGUUCGGGUGGGUCAGACGGCGACUAAGCAGACGACGAGCCGCCUCAUGGUCGUCGUGGCGUCGUGCUCUAAGGCUCCCAAGUCGAGACGGGCGGGUGGGCGGCCGGGGGUACAGGCGGGGGCGCCGCUUCGUCCCGCGCCUCCUCCUCCGGCUCGCGGAGGAGCGCCGGCGGUUCGACUUGGGGUUGCUGCCGCCCGGGAAGGCGAGGGAGCCGGUGGUGAUGCGGGCGCGGCCGCUGCGCGUCGCGCGGCGGUCCACGAAGCUCGCCCGGCACCGCGAGCUGGGGCUGCUGCGGCUCAGGCCCCUCCGCGAGACGCUAAACGAACUGCGCCUCCCCUUCCUCUCGGACCUCGAGCGGCACACGUUCCUCCGACGGCCGUUCAGUGGCGCGCGCAAAACCCGGAAGGCCUCUGAGCCGAUGAACGUCCAAGUAGUUUUCUUCACCAGUCUACGAUAUGUCUCGGAAGUUGUGAGUUAUGCUCCAAUGGGUUGUACACGCCUAAAUACCCUCCGUGAACCAGACCGAAUGGUGGCAAACCCGUACAAAUGACGACGUCAUUUCAGUAUACCCGCUCGAUAACUUGAACUAUCAAGGGCCCAGAAACGAAACUAGCUUUCACCUUUGUAGGUCGAUUACGAACCGAUAAAGUCUUUCCCUCAGCUUGUCAAGGCAAGACGGCACCUCUACCGAGGAGUAUUAGUAAGACGUAUGAAACCUGAACGGAGCCGUAACGAACGCACCAGUUUCGUAACACAUUGAUAACCCCGGAAAUGGACCCGUCGAUUAGACGACUUCCUUCGUAGUCUUUGACGAUUUCAAACGUGAAGGAACCGACCUUUGGAAAGGACACAAACCUUUAACGUACGUCUAUGAGUCGAGCGUGAACGUUCCACAAAAGGCACCCUCCUAUCCGUAUAAUUCUCCCCGUACCUACUUGUUUUAAAGUUUCGAAGGCAGGAAGUCACCUCUUUAUGUACAAACAGUCGACGUUUAUCACGUUUUGAGAGUAUAGUUGCUCGAAACGUGGAGUGAGGAACCCUUCGAUUAUAAGUGUAACUAUGACGAUAAACAGAACUAGAGUAAACAUGGUACCUCCUCUUAUUGAGACAUCUAGGGUAACAAACCCUCGAAGGUCUUUUUUACAGUAACCCACCAAACUACGACCUUGGUCAAUUAUUCCUAAAGACCCAAUGUAACCCAAGUCAGAGUUCAUUAGUCCGAAAUUUCGUCGUAAGAGAAUAGUCCCGUGACGUCAACCUAUGCAGAGAGAGACUUCGAACCCGUAUGGAACCUUUCUAAAUGUCUGUUAGUCCAGUGUUCGUUAACCGUUCUGUUCGUAAACUAGCUCGAGCUUCGUAACUAGGUAGCAACCGGAACGGUACCCGACCUUACAGCCGUCUUUUGCUAGUGGUUAGAUCCCGACCACGUCAUUUGCUCAGAAUACUUUCAACGAACUCUCGACACGUCUAUGAUGGAGACGGUCUCAAGGUCUAACCGGAACCUUGUUAACGUCGAGCAAGGCCACUUGAAUACAGUGGAGUCCAUGAUUACCGACAUUCUGUCCGACAAGUCGCUCGCGGAGUAAUGGGUCUUAGUGUGUUAUAUUUACCGAACCAGAGACUUCACGCUAGUCUAAAAGUUAGACGUUAGUGCAGAAUGGUUGUACGCUUUAAACGAAAUCCGUACUACGCGUCUAGGUUCAACCUGUUAUCUAUAGGAAAACAACUACAAAGUCACUUAGAACGAGCCAGUGAUACAUUCCGACCAGAACGUUGACUACGUCACGCGCUCACGCUUCUCAACUUUUGUGUUCCUGACGACUUGCAACUACCUAACGUUCAUAUACGAGAACGUAACACCUUUGAACCUGCCGUACUACUUCGAGAAAGAUAUAGUGCUUUGAACCGACUUUUGAAUAGAUUAUACUUCGUCCUCUCGCGUUGACCCCGUAACCCUAAGUAUACGUGGAAUCGUAUGUUGUAUCGACCCUUCCUAAGACGUCGAAGCCAGUAAGUAUGUGAGGGACCAGUUGGGUCAAUAUUGUCUCUCAACUUUAAGUAGUAGAGACGUAAUCUACGAAACGUCGGUUCGUUCGCAAAAGUCAAUGGAGUGAACUCAUGCGGAGGAUCUGAAUGUAGGAUACUGCACUACUCACUUCAGGUGAGUUUAUAACGAGACCCCUUCCGUUAACCACCCCUUAGUUUGUUGACAAAUCCCCGGCUCCCACCAAACAGAAUGGACUUUUUCCAAGAUGUGUACAUAGGACUGACGUCAAAUCAUUCUUUGGUAGAACCUAGAGACGACGACAGCUCGCCUCUAACCUGACGAAGAGUGUUUCGUCAUUCCCAAUGAAGCAACAGGGUACCCGUGUGUAGGUUAUCCCCGGAUUCCAGAGGCGUAGUUUAAGUUCGAACACGUUGUUACAGAACGAUACGAUGGACGUGGAGAAUAGGUUUCAAGAGUAAGGGUUGUACACUUCUGGUCAUGGAUUCGGUUAUGUUACCUUAUACGUUGGACGUUUCCAACCAGGUAGUUCUUGGUACCUUGGUUCUACGUGCGAUGAACGAACACGAACGAUAAAAGGUCUUUCGUGCACUUCUCUUCAUGGGGUUUGUAUAAACACGGUGAAACUUCUCCGACCAAAAUGUUUAAUACAGGUCGUCAUCGUUAAGUGUUCUCGUAUUUGAGUAGGAAAUACUCUUCAUGAACGAUGAAGAAAACAGAAGUCUCCAAUCAAACGUUAGACUACUGAUACUUUUGCCGUAGCGAGUUCAAUGUCUACGAGAUUCUCAACGAGGAGGCUCACACCUAUGAAAGAAACGUGUGAACGUUGACACAGCCCGAAUACACCACGUUCCGCUAGAAAGCUUGAGGUCCUUCCUUAUGUACUUUACGAACGUCUUGGCGUGCUUAUGACUCCAACCGACCCAUUGCGAGUUCGUUGAACUUAGAAAUACAAAUCACUUGGCACCGAGACUACUUUAUCUCUAUUUAGACUUUCUUACGUAACUUUCCUUACCAUCGAAGGGUAGUUUUACCCGACGAGAAAAGUUAGAUCGUACACGAGUCACAAAAUACGCCCUACUCCUGAAACGUUCACGACUUUUUCGAGAACGUGUUCGUACACGACUUUUCCUACGACUAUCGACGUAGAAUAAGGAGUUACCUCGAUACGUAUACCUCUAACGGGCAUCCAUACGUCGAGGAGUCAUAUAUUGGGCGCGUCGAAGCUCGGAGUCUUUCCGUGUCGUCUUCAGAGUUCGACGGCAUGGGUAGUAUAGUGAGGAUGACCGGGUUCGUCUUCCGUCGGAGCCGAGGUUUCGGUUCACCCUCUUCUUGGAAGCGGAGCUCACCAAGAGAACCGGGGGUCUUGACGCCGGACGACUCGAGAUGAAGGUUUACGUGGACGACCGCUCGGUCAGCUGACGCCAUCCAGGAGUCGUCUUCUUUGACGUUGACCACCUCUGCUACGUCUCAGGGCCCCGCACCGAAGACUCCCGCUAUGUGGUCUUGGGCAGAACGAGGUCCAUGACCUUCCGAAACGACGUCGAACACACGCACAUCGGAGGAACUGGGCCGGCCUUCAGUCAGUGGUCAGAACAUCGACUCUGCCCGCAUGGACUUAGUGUACAUCGCAUAAUAAACAAACAGCUCGUGUGGAUAAACCCUACUUGGGCACUCCACGAGAUCGCUUCACAUAAACAACGACACUUGAAAUAGUUCAUGAUCUAGGAUGAGAGUGUUUGGAACGUUUAGCAUUGGACAUUGUAAACUUUGUACUACUACCAGGAAAACCUAUGUCUUCUUUUACCAUGCCUCUUGCUCGCAGUCACGUUG